This is a long non-coding RNA of Lagenorhynchus albirostris (white-beaked dolphin), 368 nucleotides long. RefSeq lists it as uncharacterized. Lineage: Eukaryota; Metazoa; Chordata; Mammalia; Artiodactyla; Delphinidae. The record is from RefSeq and is a predicted model, not a curated record. The transcript has 3 exons.
UGUAGAACUUUAUCCCUGAGAAGUAUCAACGUUUAUGGGUUUAGUAGGAAAAAAAGAACCUGAAAGGACAGUAUGGCAGCUGGAGAAAGGAGGAAAACCAGAGGAGUAUGACUUCAAGGAGAAGCAAGUCACCAGGUGCAGCCCACAGUCAAAGGAAAGUAAUCAUACAGUGAUGGAACUACAGGCACACCUCGGAGAUAUUGCAGAUUCAGUUCUAGACUACCACAAUUAAAUGCACUCGAGUCCACUGUCACAGAAGAGUCAGUGAAACAAAUGCCUUAUAAGGGAUAGACCGACGGACCAAUGGGACACAACAUUGAGACUUAAAACAACUCUGCACAAUAUGGAAGCCUCAGUAUCUCAUAGAA